Molecule: non-coding RNA, 357 nt
Organism: Lolium perenne
Lineage: Eukaryota; Viridiplantae; Streptophyta; Magnoliopsida; Poales; Poaceae
Source: RefSeq, a predicted model, not a curated record
AAAAAAUGCAUCAGAACAGUACAUGUAAAUAUCAGCUGCAUUCUUAAAUGCAACAGCCAAAAAUAUAGUAGGGUAACACAAAACCAGAGAAACGAGCAGCAUCGUGCACAAAUGGCUCCGGGUACAACUGCAUACACGACAUAUAUAGCAGGUUCUAUCAUUAGCGAUCUUGACGAGCACAUAGUUCCAUCACGACACCUUGUACAAUGAAAAACGCUACUAGAUUCUCUCAUCACAUUCAGCAGGACCAGUCCACACGCAAAAUUAUGACGAUGAUAAACCACUACAUGCAUAAACACGCAAGGAAGUCCGCUAAGAUAUUAUCAAUAUAGACGGCAAGGGAACAGACUUAGAACA